ACAUGAGGACACAGCGAGAAGACAACUCCCUAUAAACUAGCCUCCAGAACAGUGAGGAAUAAACUUCUGUUGUUUUUAAGCCACCCCGUCUAUGGUACUUCAGCAGCCUGAACUAAGACACCAUUUCAAAAUGGUGGUCAGGGCAUAUGAAAGAUCCCAUCACAGUUAUAAAAAAGUAUACAUACCUACCACAAUUCAAAGACUAUCAUGGGCCUGAGAGGUUUCAACAAAUAUCUGAAGCUGUAAAAGGAUGAGGAAAUACUAGCUGACAGAGCUUACAGCCUCAGAGGGAGAGCUGCUGCUGAAGAGGGCGAUAAGUGACUUACCCAGGGAAAGAGGCUCCAGACUCAGAAAAAGCAAGUACAUACAAUAUGGGCCAGAAAGGACAACACGAGUGGAAAGGAGAAGAUUAACUGAAAAGUCUGAGUAUCAACAACUGUUACUUCCAUGCCUAAGUCCUAUCUUUAUAAGAAACAACAAACCUUAUAGGACCCCAGGCAAAAACAAAAACUUUAAAAAGGGAAAUGAUUCUCUUAAGAAAUUAAACAAAAUGUCUGGGAGAACUAAACAGCUAGUGCAUCUGUUAGUCUGAGAACCCCAAAGUCAAGCCCUCCUCACUCUGAUACUUAGCAAGUCUCCAACACGAGGGCUGGCUCUGUGCCACCAGAAGGAGGCUACCGGUGGCAAUACGCAGCCACACAUACAGAGUGCCACAUCAUCUUUAUAUGAAUGAACAGUUAAGGAUAAAGAUCCAUUUAAAGAAACCCUGCAGUGUGAAAGUGGAAAACCAAAAUAAACAAUUAAAAGACCCUGGAAGAAACAGAAAAUUCAAAGGAAUAAAGCUAUUUCAUUGAGAACCCCCAAGACAACCUUUAUUAGUGCUCCUAAAAAAUAUUUGAUAAUUACACCCACAUAAGAACAACAACAGGAGUUCCCAUCAUGGUUUGGUGGAAAAAAAUCUAACUAGCAUCCAUGAGGAUGCAGGUUCGAUCCCUGGCAUCUCUCAGUGGGUUAAGGAUCCAGCACUGCCGUGAGCUGUGGUGUAGGUUGCAGAUAUCCUUAACCCACUGAGCAAGGCCAGGGAUCAAACCCACAACCUCAUGGUUUUUAGUCGGAUUCAUUAACCACUGAGCCACAGUGGGAACUCCCAUAUUGUUUUUAAAACAUCAAUAUAAUACUCUAUGUGUAAUGUAAAGGAGAACCUAAAAAGAAAAACAAUUUUUAAUAAUAUUUCAAUAUGUAAACAAUUUUCAGGUCCAAUUAACUGUGUAAUGAAAUAGAUGCAUAUUGUUUACUUAUAUAAAGAAUAAACUUGAAUUAAGAGAAGUCAAAUCAGAAGAGUCCCAUAUUAAAAGCACAGGAAAACAAAAGAAAGGAAUAGGCGGACAACAGAAAUGAAAGUGAAUAUAUUCUGUGUAUAUUAAAAGUAUGAAAACAUUUGUGUUUUUAUAUAAAACGGGCUUAAGCCUAGGCUCAGAUAAUUAUAAACUAAUUUUUCACUGCGUGAAUAUCCAACAGGAUAGCUGAAACUCAUGUGGGAGACGGGUCAACACUUUCUGUCUUUUCCACUGUGAGACAUUUAAAAUCUGAUUCCCAUCCAUCCAAUGCCCUACCACUGCAGGAUCCAACAGGGUCCCAGAUUUCUACUAUGCCCUCUAGGGGGCGGCACUGCUCCCAUGAAAACCCCUGGUUGAUGACCUAUGGGCGUUUCCUUCUAGCCUUCAGUCUAUCACAGAGAAGCAAAUCCUGAAGACAAAUUCAGCAACAUCCCUGAGAAAAAUACUGAUUCAACAUGGCAAAUGACUAUAAAAAAUGAAUUGAGACGUACGUCAUUAACUAUAGCCAUAUUCAACAUUAUUUCCACUUUCUGAAUUCAAGAGGAUUGGUUACUCCAUAUAGACAUGGAGUGAAAAGCUAUAGUUCUGUGUCAUUUAUUUAGAUAGCACAAAGUGAUUCUGAGUUUAGAAUUUUUCUUCUCAACUAGUUAAUUAAUGAUGAAAAGGGAAUUUUUCACAGAGCUCUACAACUCUCAUUUCCUCAAAACAAGAAUUAAUGCAUUCUUUCAUAUGUGGUCAUUACAGGAAGGGGGGGGGAGCCAUUUACUGUAAAUGCCUUUCUGAUGCAAUUCUACCACCUCUUUCAAAGAGGGAAUUCAUCCAAGAAGCCUUAGUCACUUCUUCAAGAAAAAUGCCACUGCACUGAACAUACACAGGCGGAAUCCCCUGCCCGAGGAGAGGAGCAGAGCUGGUCUCACCAGGAGAAAACAGGGAGGAGUGGCAGGGGGAGAGAUCGCACAGCUUCUUCCUCAGAACAGAUGUCUCAAAAUGUGGCCUUUAUACAGGAAAAGUCUGACACAUCUAUAACAUCACUGCUUUGUAAAUCAGAUGCAAACACCAAUUUUCCCCACCCAACUUUUAAGGCCCUUCUUCCCCAAAAAAAUAUGAGACUUCUGUUCUGAACCAGGAACCUAUGUAUAAUUAGUAUCUGAGCAACUAUAGUUAUUUCAUUUUAAAAACUUCACACACAGAAGGAAAAAUGAAAUCCUAUACUUAAAUAUUUGAAAAUGAAAUUACAUUUUGAAGCGGGUGAAUUUCACAGUAAAGAGAUGAUGACAUACAGUGUAAUACUACAAAGCAAUUCAGAGGAAAAAGAAACUUAAGACAAAUAGUUCUGAGCUCUUUACAAACAGAGGACUAAUUUUUCUAAAAUCUGAAACCCACCCCAAGGGAAAAGAGGGAACUAUUUCUCCAAUUAAUCCUUACCUGGAUUUCCACUGAUUCUUUUAACAGCCAGAUGUACCCUCUUGCUUCUAUGGAGGAGUCAAUGUAAAGCCCAAAGCCCAGAAGUCACCCGAUCAAGACCGUUUGCUGCUGGAGCCCAAAAUCCCCUUGAUGAAUAAAACUGCACAUCGUAAUAUACACGUUCUGAGCAAGCUAUUGGUUAAAUGAAGGCAAUGCGUGUGGAAGUCUGAUUUGCCACCUUCGGGGCAUGCCUCUCAUAUCCCAUCUCAGAAAGACGAAAGACACACCACAUCUGAGUGAGUCAAAACUAGACAGGGUUCAUUUCUUCUGCAGCAUUCUCCCCAACACUACGGAAACCACAGGAAGGACCAACCACAGCGAGAUAGGACUCCCUCAGCAGGCAAAGUCAAUGAAGAAUUAUGUCGACACUGCAAUUCACAAAUAAAUCUCAGGCCACUGCCAGAGUUUUCUGUGUUAUGUGACUGCUUAAGAGUUAUAUAUAAGGACAAGCAUGGGACACAUAUCUUCAAGCCAAGAAUUCUGAGCCAUGGUUUAGGGGUGCAGAAUUAACAAGGAGUGGUAACAAUUCUCCAAAGAAGUUUUAAUCUUUAGGCUACACUGAUGAUCUACCAAGAAAAAUGGAGCAAUGGUGUAACUGAUCUUCUUGGAAUGAGGGGUUUUCAACAUGCAGUUCUUGGACCAUGUGCACCAGGGUGACCUAAGGUUGACUCAAGAGUAUCUGAAGUGGAGCCCGGGAAUCUGCAGGUUAUUCUUAAAUCCUUUCAAGCUGGAGGACGGUGCUUCCUGCCAGCAGAAUGAACAGCUGAUUAUAGCUGCUACCAUCUUCCCUGCUCCUCAUUCAGUUAUCUUGUCCCGUACUCCCGCUGAAAUCAGGAGCAGUAAGGACAUGAAAGCCACCUCAGUCCAGAGGCUUUCAUUCCAGGGGAAAGGAGAGCCUGCCUGGGUUCGCCUGGCCUCUCCUCCACACCCAGCUCUCCAUCUCCACUGAGACACAAGCUCAGGCUACAGUCCUUGAGGCUGAAUGUGAACAUAACAUCCAAAGAUGCUCCCCCUGGAAAACAAAAAGACGCUGCUAAGAACAAGAGGAGGAAAAUGAGGAGAGAGGAAACUCAUGUUUACUGACGACUCACAAUGUUGCAGGCACCACAUCAAGAACUUUAUAGACAAUUUUCGUUGUCAUAGAAGUCUCACCAAAAACCCCAAAACCAAAACAAAAAUCCCUUCUUCAGAAGAGUAUGAACAUACAAACUUGGAGUCUCUGUAGAGAACGCACUGCUGGUAGGGCCCUGCCGGCAAUGCAUUCCUCCACGCAAGACUUCCCUCAGCCACAUGUGCUCAGCUCCACCCCCAUUAUCCUCUAAACAUAAAGGGGUUUUUAAAAGGAAACUAAGAAACACUGUCAGAAAUGUACUUAAAAUGAUAUCACCUUUCCAUAUUUCUAGUUCUUGGUUCCUUAUUUAUCCAACGUAAGAUCGUGUAAACUUUCAGAAAGUUCAGAGUCCUUUUCCCCCCAUCCAUUCUACAUUUAACUUGUCGAUUCACUGCAGUCCAAAGUGCUGAGCAGGGAGGGGGGGAGCCCCAUCGUUAUAAUAUGUACAGAAAAAUGUUAUUUGAACAUCACCAAUGAGUAUGAGAAUUAUGUUUACUUUAAUAAAAGAGGUUUUACUUGUUUAUCCAACAUGCACAGACUUUCUAAGAAAACAUUCUGGCGGAGGCAGCCCAACUUGGAGAGCAGCAGGUUGAUGAACAAGCCCUUCCAAGUGCUCUCCCCUCUGUGUCUCAGGAGGACGCUGCUCUCUGACAUCCUAACAUAGUCACAGGAAGCUGACUUUCUAUCUUUAACUUUUCAUUGUUAGCCGACCCAGUGUGUUUGGUGUUCCAACUAUUUUGCCUAAUAGGUAAAAUCUGCAUCUGUUAGGGCAGCGGUUCUCUUAUGCCCCCAAAUGAAAUCUUAGGUGAAAACCUAACACAGGCACAAGAUGAAAGCAGAGCAGCCUCGCUGAUGUGGUGGGCUAGAGGAUACAAAGCCCUCCAGAAUAGGGCCUGCUGACUCAUCUCAUCCCUCAGUGUGGCUAUGAGGCAACACUGCCAAACCCUCAGGGCUCUAUUUUAUCUUUUCUUAGACCUUGAUGGUUUUUUUAAAUUUACACUUUAUCACUUUAUUUUAUGCAUGCCUUUGUGUCUCAAAGUUGAACAUAUACAAAAAUUGUUAAAAGCCAUGUCAGAUCCUAUUUCAAGCGCUACUUACUACAUUAAAUUUAGGAAUUCUGUUACAUAUUUGACUCCUGUGGAUCCUAACAGAAAAAUUACAAUCUCUAUUUGUAUCUUUAGCAACAAUACUCUGAGCAUAUUUGCAAGUUCAAGAUCAUUUUAUAAACAUAAAAUUGUGUCGAUAAUGUAUCUUAAAUGAAGGAGAACAUCUUUGAUGUACAAGACCCCUCACCAUGAUUUCACUUCUACCAGUAGCCUUUAGCUUACUACCUGUGGUACAGUAAGUUUCAGAUGAUAUACUAAAACUCAAGCAAAAAAUAUUACCAUGAGAUUAAAAAUGAGAAAUGAAUUUAAAGUGUUGUUAGGUAACCAUUAUCUUAAGAGGUAUAAUACCAGAUUAGCAGAGAGAACAAAGCCUGAAAUGACUUCCUGAGGACCCAAUACUUCCAAAAUUCUAAUAGGAAAAUGUAAGAGCCUUUUCCUUUUAAACAUUUUCUAACUGCAAUUUCCCAGGCUUUAAAAAGUUAAUGUGUUUCUUCAGCCAAAGCCAUCACAUUUCAAGUGUACACGUGAGAAAGUGGCCAGAGUGAAGGGGUUGACCUGAGUCACGUGGGACCAAGAACUUGAAUCAGGGAAAAGUCCCAACGUUCAGCAUUCAACGGUCCC
RNAcentral lists this long non-coding RNA (5639 nucleotides) under Sus scrofa (pig). Its description in RNAcentral is "lncRNA (ENSSSCG00045010613.1, ENSSSCG00055026936.1)". Lineage: Eukaryota; Metazoa; Chordata; Mammalia; Artiodactyla; Suidae. The record is from RNAcentral.